RNAcentral lists this ribosomal RNA (254 nucleotides) under uncultured bacterium. RNAcentral's name for it is "partial 16S ribosomal RNA". It matches the Rfam family "Bacterial small subunit ribosomal RNA", at positions 524 to 776 of the family's 1533-position model. The record is from RNAcentral.
UACGUAGGGUGCAAGCGUUGUCCGGAAUUAUUGGGCGUAAAGAGCUCGUAGGCGGUUCGUCGCGUCGGCUGUGAAAACCCGGAGCUCAACUCCGGGCCUGCAGUCGAUACGGGCGGACUCGAGUUCGGCAGGGGAGACUGGAAUUCCUGGUGUAGCGGUGAAAUGCGCAGAUAUCAGGAGGAACACCGGUGGCGAAGGCGGCGACCUGGUCCGAUACUGACGCUGAGGCGCGAAAGCCGUGGGGAGCAAACAGG